RNAcentral lists this ribosomal RNA (1439 nucleotides) under Escherichia coli. RNAcentral's name for it is "partial 23S ribosomal RNA". It matches the Rfam family "Bacterial large subunit ribosomal RNA", at positions 1 to 1476 of the family's 2925-position model. The record is from RNAcentral. Lineage: Bacteria; Pseudomonadati; Pseudomonadota; Gammaproteobacteria; Enterobacterales; Enterobacteriaceae.
GGGUUGUGAGGUUAAGCGACUAAGCGUACACGGUGGAUGCCCUGGCAGUCAGAGGCGAUGAAGGACGUGCUAAUCUGCGAUAAGCGUCGGUAAGGUGAUAUGAACCGUUAUAACCGGCGAUUUCCGAAUGGGGAAACCCAGUGUGUUUCGACACACUAUCAUUAACUGAAUCCAUAGGUUAAUGAGGCGAACCGGGGGAACUGAAACAUCUAAGUACCCCGAGGAAAAGAAAUCAACCGAGAUUCCCCCAGUAGCGGCGAGCGAACGGGGAGCAGCCCAGAGCCUGAAUCAGUGUGUGUGUUAGUGGAAGCGUCUGGAAAGGCGCGCGAUACAGGGUGACAGCCCCGUACACAAAAAUGCACAUGCUGUGAGCUCGAUGAGUAGGGCGGGACACGUGGUAUCCUGUCUGAAUAUGGGGGGACCAUCCUCCAAGGCUAAAUACUCCUGACUGACCGAUAGUGAACCAGUACCGUGAGGGAAAGGCGAAAAGAACCCCGGCGAGGGGAGUGAAAAAGAACCUGAAACCGUGUACGUACAAGCAGUGGGAGCACGCUUAGGCGUGUGACUGCGUACCUUUUGUAUAAUGGGUCAGCGACUUAUAUUCUGUAGCAAGGUUAACCGAAUAGGGGAGCCGAAGGGAAACCGAGUCUUAACUGGGCGUUAAGUUGCAGGGUAUAGACCCGAAACCCGGUGAUCUAGCCAUGGGCAGGUUGAAGGUUGGGUAACACUAACUGGAGGACCGAACCGACUAAUGUUGAAAAAUUAGCGGAUGACUUGUGGCUGGGGGUGAAAGGCCAAUCAAACCGGGAGAUAGCUGGUUCUCCCCGAAAGCUAUUUAGGUAGCGCCUCGUGAAUUCAUCUCCGGGGGUAGAGCACUGUUUCGGCAAGGGGGUCAUCCCGACUUACCAACCCGAUGCAAACUGCGAAUACCGGAGAAUGUUAUCACGGGAGACACACGGCGGGUGCUAACGUCCGUCGUGAAGAGGGAAACAACCCAGACCGCCAGCUAAGGUCCCAAAGUCAUGGUUAAGUGGGAAACGAUGUGGGAAGGCCCAGACAGCCAGGAUGUUGGCUUAGAAGCAGCCAUCAUUUAAAGAAAGCGUAAUAGCUCACUGGUCGAGUCGGCCUGCGCGGAAGAUGUAACGGGGCUAAACCAUGCACCGAAGCUGCGGCAGCGACACUAUGUGUUGUUGGGUAGGGGAGCGUUCUGUAAGCCUGUGAAGGUGUGCUGUGAGGCAUGCUGGAGGUAUCAGAAGUGCGAAUGCUGACAUAAGUAACGAUAAAGCGGGUGAAAAGCCCGCUCGCCGGAAGACCAAGGGUUCCUGUCCAACGUUAAUCGGGGCAGGGUGAGUCGACCCCUAAGGCGAGGCCGAAAGGCGUAGUCGAUGGGAAACAGGUUAAUAUUCCUGUACUUGGUGUUACUGCGAAGGGGGGACGGA